This is an RNA transcript of Macrobrachium nipponense, 1788 nucleotides long. RefSeq lists it as uncharacterized. The transcript is spliced from 7 exons. NCBI's taxonomy places the organism in Eukaryota, Metazoa, Arthropoda, Malacostraca, Decapoda, Palaemonidae. The record is from RefSeq and is a predicted model, not a curated record.
UUCUAUGCCGGGCAUUAGUUUCAUUCUCGCGUGCCCGGCGGCCAAGAGAAAUCGUGGAAUUCCGUCUGUCUGUUAUCACUGGGGGGAAGAAUUGUUCAAUUCGGUGGCAGCCAUUUUGGAUUGCGGGACAACGCCAGUUCGGAAGGAGGCGGCGCUGCUGGCCAUCAUCAUCUUCAGUUGUGGGGUCUGUGAAGAACGGGAAAGACGCUGGUCGAGGAAGAGAGAUUUAGGAAAAAGAGAAGGGGAAACUAUUUUGAAGUUUCUGAGGUCCUUCGAGAUCGUCUGUCACUUGUGAUUCUGCUCUAGACCUCUGCCAAGAUGAUCAAAUAUCUCUUCUUGCUGCUUGCUUGCCUGACGGGAGGCACUCUGGCAGCAACUGGUGAUAUUGACACGCAAACACAGCUGUAUAUCGUGGCUGGAAUAUUAGGAGGUGCGUGCUUGCUCCUUACCAUAGCCUCCAUCUACAAUUCAGUCACCAUCAUCGGCCUCCAGUCGAAGAUAGCUGUACUGCAAGCGGCAGGGGCAGCCACAGUGAAAGCAGUGUCCAACGUCGUCGAGAAUUCUCCCAGGACGCCGAAAAAAUUCCCAGACCACGAGGCCCCUCACACAUCAGGAGAUAGAGAUCCUUACUCAAGAGACGACCCCUACCGAAGACAAGACUCCAGGGGCUACAGGAUGGAGAGACCUGGAGUAUAAAGGGACACUGAUGGGUCAUCUCUCAUGACCUGGCCAAGCCCCCAAUAACAAAUUUAUCUUUCAAUGCAACCCUCAAGAGGCUACCAAGAUGACAGAAGACCUCCUUCAGGUUAUUAUUAAGCCCCUCCUCGCAUUGGCGACGUUGGCAAUCAACAUUCACUUAGAAAAUUUUAGACAAUGUAUGAAAAUGCACUCUUCUUCAUUUACGUCAGCCUCUGUGAAUUCUUAUGAUAUAUAAGUGUUUUUUUUUACUAUGUCAUGGUUCAUUUCAGUAGUUAACAUUACAUGCAACUGUUUUAAAUACUAUUUUGUUAAGUCAUCUGGAUUACACAGCAUCAGAAAUUCCAGUUUAAACAAAAAAAUUCUGAGUUCCAGAAUAACAGCAAAGAAGUACCUCUUAUGUUCAGACACAGCACAGUACAUAGUUCAUUAUGACGCUACUUUAACUUCCAUCACACAGGAUGGCUGUGUGAAUUCAACAAGAACUAAACUGAGAAAGAAAAUGCCAUCACUUCACUGCUUCUAAAUUGACACUUGAUAGGGUACUGGUCACAAAGAGAGACGCCCAUGGUACAGUUUUAGAUUACUUACAAGAUUUAUUUUCCUUUAAAUAGUCAGUAUUGUUUAUAAUCCUCUGAAAUCCAUCAUCACUGGAAGCAGAUAGUAACUAGCAGUAAUGUUAUCUGGUUUACAAAUAGUAAAUUUUUCUUUUAAUAUCUUAUUAUAUCUGUAUUGCCAUUAUACCCAGUUCAAACCUAACUUCCUUAAUAAUCUUAGAAUAAAAAUGCUAUGGUAAUGCUGACUUCUGGAGACUAGUAUUAAAUGGUGUUACAGAUACUUUAUUGUGAAAUACUAUGAGUAAAAACAAAAACGAUCACAUGUUAAUACAUGAAACAAACUUAGCCCUCUUUUGAGUGUCAGGAGCUUCCAAGAAAUAUCGUAAUUUUUGGUUUUAUGUAUUUAGUACAGAUCAUUUUGGGACUACAGUUCUUGUUAUGUUGUGGUUGUAAUUUGCAAAACUUAAUUUUAGUGUGUUUAAGAAUGGUAAGUACUCAAGUUAUAUUGUAAUCACAAAAUAAAUCCUCUCCAAAG